Molecule: non-coding RNA, 552 nt
Organism: Chrysemys picta bellii (western painted turtle)
Lineage: Eukaryota; Metazoa; Chordata; Testudines; Emydidae
Source: RefSeq, a predicted model, not a curated record
CCAGAGGUCAGGCAGUUGUCAGGAAGUUGUUUGCAGAGAACAGUCUGACACAUGCUUGAGAAUCUGAAAAAGUGAGGCCUUCUUAAGCAGCCUGGGGGUAUGGCAAGCCUUAGACGUCUGCGAUAAAGGGGCUGCAGGAUCCAGAUGACAGAAGCCAGCGAUGAACACCGACUGUGGACAACAGAUGAAAUAGAUAGACUGCGAUCUGUUUCUGAAAAGACUCAGUUGUGACAGAAAUGCCUAGAAGAGACCAAGUAGUUGUGUGAAACUCCGUGAUGACUAGAAUUAUUUGCUACUGGUGAGUGAUUCCAAUAAAGAGCAUGUAGUGCACACAGAAGAAUGAAGCAUUCUGAAACAGUAAAAAAGACUGCAGGAUACGUGCCCUUAUACUUAGAGACAAGCCAAUGCGAGAAAGUCAUUUUCCUGUUUGGUACCCACAGCAUGUUGCUUUGCAGAUAUUCAAGGGUUUACUGCACAAACAGUCACUCAAAAUAAGAUUCUAAACGAUAAUGUGUUUUCUGAUCCAUAAAAAUACAAUCUCUUUCUUUAAAA